GCCAGGAUAGCUCAGUUUGGUAGAGUAAUGGUCUGAAAAACCAUUGGCCACCAGUUCAAUCCUGGUUCCUGGCA
RNAcentral lists this transfer RNA (74 nucleotides) under Dichotomosiphon tuberosus. Its description in RNAcentral is "tRNA-Phe". It matches the Rfam family "tRNA". Rfam says of the family: Transfer RNA (tRNA) molecules are approximately 80 nucleotides in length. Their secondary structure includes four short double-helical elements and three loops (D, anti-codon, and T loops). Lineage: Eukaryota; Viridiplantae; Chlorophyta; Ulvophyceae; Bryopsidales; Dichotomosiphonaceae. The record is from RNAcentral.